GCAAAAUUUUUACGUUCGAAACCUUCGACUUCAGAGUGAAUAGCCCCUCAAAAGUUAUUGAAGUUCAGGAUGGUCAUAUUAUUACCAAUUGGUAUACCAAAAGUACAUAUUCAGAUCCUUUAGAUCAGCUUGAAAAGAUGGUAUUUGUCUACAAGAUCACUUGCAAGAUCUGUAAAAUGACUUAUGUGGGACAGACUGGUAGACUUAUUAAUACUAGCAGGAGGGGACACAAAAGCGAUGUUCGUUUGGGACGCUGUUACAAGAUUGUUUUUGCCAGACAUACGAUUUUGAGGUAUCAAAGAGAGGGUAUCGUUGUUUCGUUGCUGUUCCUACCUGCUAAAAUUGUUUUUACCCUAGUAAGGGUGAAUGUGGUCAAUUUUAUAAAU
Molecule: long non-coding RNA, 386 nt
Organism: Belonocnema kinseyi
Lineage: Eukaryota; Metazoa; Arthropoda; Insecta; Hymenoptera; Cynipidae
Exons: 3
Source: RefSeq, a predicted model, not a curated record